AAAUUAUUCAGAAUGGAAAAAAAAGUACUCAGAACUCAAAAGGACAAUAAAUAAUACAUUAAAUUUUAGGGGAUUCGGGACUUCAAUUCUCACCCUACUCUUAUCCUCUUGGGCGGCACUGUUAAUGGAUCUUCUCAGCCACAAAAUAUGCAGUAGGUUUCUUUAGAAAAAUGUAACGCUAGUUAUUAAAUAUUGUGAUGUUAUUAAUUUUGUUUUGUUGUCAAUAUGAUAUGAUCCAUAUCAACAUGGGGAACUUAAUCAAUGAGAGAAAGACCAUAGUGAUGUUCUUACCUCUCUCAUGCAAACUGAGACAGUGCCAAGUGGAAGCCAAAUGCCAUCUUCCUCUUCUUAGAGAAGGUCACAGGGAACAACAACGCUACACAAAGUAUAUACAAUGCUUAAUUUACUAGUGCAUGCCUUUUCCCCAUGUCUUUUGAAUCAUGUAUUCAUAUAUAACCAUUGUUCUCUUUCAUCAUCCUAAUAGAUCAUUUACUGCAUAAUGAUGUGCAAGAAAAUGUUUCAAAUAAACCACUCAAAAACCGAAAAGGUCAACCUACCAGCUAAAAUUUUAAUGAGC
Molecule: long non-coding RNA, 577 nt
Filed under: Brassica napus (rape)
Lineage: Eukaryota; Viridiplantae; Streptophyta; Magnoliopsida; Brassicales; Brassicaceae
Description: long non-coding RNA (BNAP_LNC027179)
Source: RNAcentral